This 253-nucleotide ribosomal RNA is filed under the name uncultured bacterium. Its description in RNAcentral is "partial 16S ribosomal RNA". It matches the Rfam family "Bacterial small subunit ribosomal RNA", at positions 524 to 776 of the family's 1533-position model. The record is from RNAcentral.
UACGGAGGGUGCAAGCAUUAAUCGGAAUUAUUGGGCGUAAAGGGCGCGUAGGCGGAGGCGCAAGUCAGAUGUGAAAUCCCGGGGCUCAACCUCGGAACAGCAUUUGAAACUGCGCCCCUUGAGGGUAGGCGGAGAAAACGGAAUUCCACAAGUAGCGGUGAAAUGCGUAGAUAUGUGGAAGAACACCGGUGGCGAAAGCGGUUUUCUAGCUUAUGCCUGACGCUGAGGCGCGAAAGCAAGGGGAUCAAACAGG